RNAcentral lists this ribosomal RNA (132 nucleotides) under uncultured Penicillium. RNAcentral's name for it is "partial small subunit ribosomal RNA". It matches the Rfam family "Eukaryotic small subunit ribosomal RNA", at positions 1675 to 1804 of the family's 1831-position model. Lineage: Eukaryota; Fungi; Ascomycota; Eurotiomycetes; Eurotiales; Aspergillaceae. The record is from RNAcentral.
GUCGCUACUACCGAUUGAAUGGCUUAGUGAGGUCUUCGGAUCGGCUUUGGGGAGCCGGAAACGGCACCCUAUUGCUGAGAAGUUGAUCAAACUUGGUCAUUUAGAGGAAGUAAAAGUCGUAACAAGGUUUCC